CUUUUACCAUAUGUCGCUAAAACUUAUUUUGUUACUUCCUUCUGUCUAGCAAAGAUGAAUCUUUUUUACCAUUUCAUUUGUUUUGUUAUUUUUCUUCAUAGGUUAAGAAAUGACAAUCGAUAAGAGUUGGACAUUGCAGACUAAUAGGUUGUCACAUGAAUAUAGAAAUGGUAAGUCAUAAUGAUGUUAAAUAUUAUAUUUUAUGAAUUCUAUACAUCAAUUCUAAUUUUUAAACGGAUGGAUCCGCUUACAAAAGAGCUAUCGGGUCACAUCAAAUUUUACUAUGAGAUGAAUUGUAGCGAUGAAUGUGGGUGGACAACUAAAGAAGUGGAGUCCCAUUAUGUAAGUAAUUUUACUUGUUAUAAUUGUAAAAUAAAUAUUUCAAAAAUCUAAUAUUUUAUUUAUAAUUUACAUGGAUCCUCAGAAUCAAUUGAUCGACCUUUUACAAGAACAAAAUUCUCAACUAGAUCCGAAUGAACAACCUAUGCCUUUAGAAGAAUCUGAAAGUCAUGACUAAGUUUUGGGCAAGAGAUUUAUCCACGUUAAUCAACAGAAAAGUUCAAAGAAGACAAUGUUGGAAAAUUGUGAUACUUGUGCAGAGAAUGCUACUUUAUAGAAUGAGGUUCAAGAUCUUCGUUCUCAGUUGAAAUCUGUGCAGAUAUUCUUAAGUCGAAUGCCUGAAGAGUUUCUUUGACAUAUUCAAUCUGAUGUGACUUCAUCCAGUGGCUUAAGUGGUGAUAAUUAAUAUAUUUUUUACUUUAUUUUUGGUGACGUAGUAAUGGUUAUAUAUUUUUAUUUGAUCGAGGCAAUAGUCUCUAACUCUACAUCUAUUUUUUUAUUUAUUAUUAUUAUUAUUUUUUAUGUUGAGAACAUAAUGAUUGAAUUGGAUGUAUUUUUUUGUCUAAGUCAUGAUAUUUUAUAUAAUUAACAUCUAGUUGUAGAUGAUGUUGGAAUAUUUUAAUUGAUUGAAGGUCCAAGAAAAUUUUAGUUCUUGUUAAUGUUCUUUAUACUUGGAUUCAUUUACUUCUUAUAAUUGUUUAUAGUUGUGAACAAGGUUUAUUCGUAGUAUGACGUGAAUGUGUAAAAGUUAUAGAAUCAUGAAUAUUACCACUGACGAUCAUAGUUCUCGUUAUUUUAAAAUUUUGAUUGUUAAUAUAAACGCUUUACAACGGCUUCUUUCGUUGUUGAAAAUUAAGGCAACUAAAUUUUAGUUGUUUCAACAAUAUUUUACACACACAUAUAAUUAAUGCAACGACAAAUCAAGCAGUUGUUGAAAUAAAUUUAAUUAGUUGUCUAUACUAAUUUUUAACAAGUAUUUCUUUUGUUGUUGAAAUGAAAGACAACUAAAAUUUGGUUGCUUUUAUUGUAUUUUAACGACAAAAAUAGUUAUUAAACAACCAAACAAUUCGUUGUUGAAAAAUAUAAUCAAUUGUCAAUACAAACCUUUUACGACCAAUUAUUUAGUUGCUAAAGUAAUACAGUUAACGAUCAAAUGUAUUUUUAGUCAUUGAAUAUAAUCGCGAACACCUCUUUGCUGACCAACGAACGACCAACUGAUUUUAGUCGUUGAAUGUGAUCAACAACCAAAAAUGUACAUUCUACGACCAUUUAUAUGGUUGUUAAAGGUGAUAUUUCCUGUGGUGCUUAAAUGUCUUUUAUUUUUAUUAAAAUGUGAAACUUCUGUAGAACGAAAAUGAAUAGAAGCAAGAAAUGAUGGAGAAGCUCUCUAGAAAAUUGCGAAAAUCUUGUCGAGCAUCUCAAUUCAAUGACAACAACAAUUUCUCUCUACUUGCGACAAUGGCCAUCUGAGUGACACCCAAGGUUUCCAAUUAUUCAAUACUCAAAAGCUCAUGUAUUGUAAUUGUGUGUGAAUAUCAAUAAUUGAGUGUUAACUGAAUUUCUUUAGUUUUGAAUUAUCUAUGUAUCGUUAAUUGUGUAUAUUUGAUUAUUUGUAGAGUAAGAGUAGCUUUUUCGAUCUUUCGAGAAGAAUCUAGUUCAGUCGGUCUUUUCUUUGGAAGUUAUGAGUAUAAAUGAUUAUUCUAAUAUAUUUUUUAAAUUGUUUUUUAGUUCACUGAGUUGAUACUGGUUUAAUUCUUGUAGAGCAUUUUUGCUAAACUACUUUUUUAUUACACAGCUGUACUCAUUUUCUCAAUUUUUCAACAGGCUUAUUAUCCCUGGGAAUUGUUGGUCUUUGAAUUUUUAUUGUAACACCAUGCAUAUAGAAUAGAUGUUGAUUAGGGUCUAUAAAACUUGUCUAUCUUGACGCAUACUUAUAAAUAAUUUUUAUAUGAAAUUCCAUUAGAAGUCCAUUUUAGUAGGGUGAAUAAGGCACGUGAGGUGAGCAAUAUCAAGUAAAAUGCUUGGUUGACAAGAUAAAAAUUUAUGAAAAAACACAUGCUAAAUUUUAUUCUCAAUGAACUUGUAGCUGGCUAUAUGUAUCCUUCUUCUUUCAUACUGUCCAAUACAUUUAGAGUUUUAGAUUUAGAGCCUGUUUGGGAGUGAUUUUGAGCAUUGAUUUUUUUACCGUUAGGGGAAAAGUGGGGUCCACCUGUGAAAGAAGAAGUGAAAUAUGAUAGCUGAAAUAGUAAAAUAACGAUUAAAAAAUCAAUUUUUUGGGGGAAAAAAUCACUCCCAAACAGGCUCUUAGCAAUAUAGCAGCAUAUUUACUGUUAUGUCUAAUGAAAUAAAAUCUUUUGCAAAUUAUGAUAAAUUGGGACUACUUCUCCCCUAUGGUAUUGAUGUUGCAAGAUUUUAUGCAAAAUUGGUGGUCCCUGCAUCAUCCAAGACCAUAAUUAGAACCAAACUUACUCAUAAUUGGGUUAAUUAUGCAUCCUAAGCUCUUAUCCAACAUUAUCGCUCUCAUCCAAAUGUGGUCGUGUGUAUGAGUGUUGAUCAGUUGGUAUAAGCAAAUUAAUAGUACGGAACUUUAAACAGACCAUAAGAUAUAAGCAUUUGUGGGCACUGCCAUAAAGUACCAUCACUACUUUUCUUAUACACAAAUGAAGGAUGCACUACGAUGUUUGAAAAUAUAUGCCUCGACAUCCAUAAUUUGGUGAAUAAUCGAUUAAGAAAAAUUAAUGGGAAUAUCAAAAUCACAUAUUUAGUCAGAUAUUAAAUUCUCUGUGUACGACGUCCAUUGCCAGGAAUGAAUACUAGAGGCGUCAACAAGGACAAGGGAGUAAGCUUUUCUUAGUUCACCUUCAUUCUGAAGUCGUGAGAGAUUAUAAGUAAUGCUAGAUUCUCUCACAAAUUGGUCAUUAAUCCAAAACACAUAAAUCCUUCAUUUUUAAAAUAUUGCAUGAAUGUUGAAUAUGUUAUAACUUACAAUAGAAGAACUAAAACUAAGUUGAAAGGGAAUUAUUUGUUCUAAAAACAUGAAAAUCAAUUCAAUUCUAAUUCAUAUUAGUAGACAUCAUCUUGUUUCCGAAAGAAAUGAAACCAAAACCUAAGUGGCAAGUAUAAAUUCACUUUUAUGUCUUUAUAAUUUCACAUGAUAAGAUUUGAAGAACAUGGAUUUGAAAAAAUAGUGGUAUAAAUUUAUAAUGUUGACCUUAUCUGAUAUGAGCCUCAGCCUUAAAAAUCCUUACCUAUUAUGGCUCAUUUUUAGCUUCAAUUUCAAUUUCAGUUUAUUCUUUGGUCUAAAAUUCAUCGUGGCCUGAGAUUAUAUUAAGCUCGGUUUGAAUUGGUUUUAUUCACAAUCAUAAUGGACAUUGGAAGGGUUGUUACACCUGUGUCAUUCUUUGUGCUCAUUUUUCUUGUUUCUAUCCGAUUAACAGCAUUAUCGUGCAUACUUCAUGUACGAGGUUGAUUCGUGGAGCAUCAUGUCUGCAGGUUAGGUUCUUCCUCUUAAUUUUGUAUUUCCAUUUUCUUGAUAGGUGAGUUUGUAGUCCAUGUAUUGCAUACUGGGAAUGAUGUUAUGAGUUCACUACUCAAAUGGAUUUUGUUUGUUACUAUUUUCAUCGGCAGCAUUGCCCUGAAAAUCAUUUUUUUGUUUUAAUUUAUUUCAACUGUCGCGGUAAUUUUUAUCGCUAUAUGCUUAGUCACUAAAGUUUAAUUAAGUUUACUUAUAAUCUUUGUUGCAUAAAUUGUUUAUUUAUAUGCUUUCUCAUAUUAUUCAUGCAAUUUCUAAAUAAAUCUAUGGAAAAUAUGCAAAGAAAGAUAUUGAAUAACCAAUUCACUCUGUCAACGAAAGUACAAAUUCUUAUUCUUGUCUUUAAAAGAUUAAGGUUUCUUUGCAUUCUAUGCUUCCCUCUAUUAACUUCAAAAUUCAAGCAAAGCAAUGUCAAGGUCUUGUGCAACGAUCACAUUUUUUUCUUGGUGGUUUAGGAGGAGAGAAGAUCUCUUGAACUAUGUUUAGGUGUUUGCCUACCUACGGAUUAUGAUUAUCUUCCAUCAAUUAGCAAGAACACAUUCCAUUAAAUAUCUUAUUAUUCAUUUCCACUCUGAUUGAGUUUACAUCCAUGCUACAGAUAGGCAAAGUUUAAGUGGGAUAUCUCACGGCUUCCUUUUGGGCCAUUGAGGUAAACUAUAGUGGGAUAUAAAUUGAUGGUGACAUAUACAGUGGUCAUUGAAGUUCUCAAGCAUACGGUAAUUUGAAUUAAGCUUUAAAAAACAUGCACAACUGGAUUUACAUGCCAUCAAUUUAUAUAUAGAAGUGCUUGUAUUUUCAGAUUAUGUUGUCUACUGUGCCUGAGAUGAUGAGAUUAUAAUUGUCAUGUGGAUGCAUAAUGUAUGUUUAUUAGAAUGUGAUUUUGUUAAAAAAAAUNNNNNNNNNNNNNNNNNNNNNNNNNNNNNNNNNNNNNNNNNNNNNNNNNNNNNNNNNNNNNNUUUGGUCAUGUUAAAUCUGAUUACUUUUAUGAAAAAAGAAAAGGAAAAAUUUGAUCUAUUAUUCAUAUGACAAUUGAUUUACUAUUGCUUUUUGUAGGGAUACAUUUCUGAAGAUUGAGACUGGUGAAAGUCCAAAUGACAGGAAUGAUAAAAUUCUGUUCUCUACGUUAUCUGUUUCUUGGGGCCUUUUGCACACUAUGAGAUUUUGAAUUGUGAUUUUGUUGGAUUUUUUUGGGCAAAAUUUACAACUAUUGUCAAAGAGAGCUUAAUUCAGAAAUUUGAUUUCAUCAAUCGAUACUCUAAGCCUCGUUUUAACAGCUAAACAUGCAUUGAAAAUAUUGACAUGCAUGUAUGACAUAUAUUGCUUGAAGUCUUCUUACAAUAUGGUUUUAAUUUGUAUGCAUGUAAUUCCUCCUUGAAAAAAGAGGAUGAAUCGAAAUAUAGUUGCUACAACAAAACUAGGGAGGGGUUUACAUCAAUUUUUAACUUAUUGGUUUAGGGUUCAAAAAACAUAGUGGUUUAGAUAAAUUCAUCUAAAUCAAAUUAAUC
RNAcentral lists this long non-coding RNA (5376 nucleotides) under Olea europaea subsp. europaea. Lineage: Eukaryota; Viridiplantae; Streptophyta; Magnoliopsida; Lamiales; Oleaceae. The record is from RNAcentral.